CUUUUGUGUCCUUAGAUGCAACCAUUUAUGUUGGUGGAUUGGAUGAAAAGGUUAGUGAAACCAUUCUAUGGGAACUUUUUGUCCAAGCUGGACCAGUGGUUAAUGUUCAUAUGCCAAAGGACAGAGUGACAGGACAGCACCAAGGCUAUGGUUUUGUUGAAUUUUUAGGUGAAGAUGAUGCUGAUUAUGCAA
Long non-coding RNA from Stegodyphus dumicola, 192 nucleotides. Lineage: Eukaryota; Metazoa; Arthropoda; Arachnida; Araneae; Eresidae. The record is from RefSeq and is a predicted model, not a curated record.